Molecule: long non-coding RNA, 374 nt
Filed under: Carica papaya (papaya)
Lineage: Eukaryota; Viridiplantae; Streptophyta; Magnoliopsida; Brassicales; Caricaceae
Description: long non-coding RNA (CPAP_LNC008498)
Source: RNAcentral
AGAUGUGUUCCCUCCCCAAACACGAUUAGACGGUUCAGAUUAAAUCACAAUGAACGGUUCAGAUUCACUCCCUAUUUAAUCGCGAUUGGACGAUUCAGAUCAAACGCGAUAGACGACCCAGAUUAAAUGCGAAUAACUCUCAUUCACACCAAACCCUAACCCUAGCUGCCAGACCCCCUCGUGGGAGAAGAAGAUCCAGCCGCCGGGAAGGAGACCACCACCACCCGCUGUCAUGCCGGAGGUCUUUCUGACCGCCAAAAGAGGUAAAAAAAAUUUCAUUUGCUCAUAAGUCAAAUUUAAACACACGCAUGGCCAAAUUAGAGCAAAAAGACCGGUUGAUUGGCAAAAAAACGAGGGCAAAGCCCGGUGGCACU